CCAGAGUGCCCUAGGCUCUCAACCCAUUGCGAACAUACCUAUCGUUCCCUCGGCGGGCUCAGCGCGCGGUGCCCCCGGGCUCCGGGCGUCCGCCGGGGACAACCAAACUCUGAUUUUAUUGUGAAUCUCUGAGGGGCGAAGCCCGAAAACAAAAUGAAUCA
This 161-nucleotide unclassified non-coding RNA is filed under the name soil metagenome. RNAcentral describes it as "partial internal transcribed spacer 1". The record is from RNAcentral.